RNA transcript from Ficedula albicollis (Collared flycatcher), 1347 nucleotides. RefSeq lists it as uncharacterized. NCBI's taxonomy places the organism in Eukaryota, Metazoa, Chordata, Aves, Passeriformes, Muscicapidae. The transcript has 2 exons. The record is from RefSeq and is a predicted model, not a curated record.
CAACUCAACUCAAAGACAACCAAACGCAACUCAGGGUGAACCCAACCCAACCCAAGGUCAACCCAACCCAACCCAAUCAAACUCAAGGUCAUCCAAACUCAACCCAAGUCAAAGUCAACCAAACCCAACUCAAGGUCAAGCAAACCCAACUCAAGGUCAACCCAUCCCAAGUCAAAGUCAACCAAACCCAACCUAAGGUCAACCAAACUCAACUCAACCCAACCCAAAGUCAACCAAACCCAACCCAACCCAAAAAUUAACCAAAGGUCAACUCAACCCAACGGCAGCAAGGUCAACCACACUUGAGUCAACCCAAGGUGAACCCAAUUCAAGGUCAACCCAACCCAACCCAAGGUCAACCCUGCCCAACUCAACCCAACCCAACACAAGGUCAACCAAAUUUAAGGUCAACCCAACUCAACCGAACUCAAAAGUCAACCCAACCCAUGGUCAGCAAAGCCCAAACCAACCCCAUGACCGACGCACGUCGAGUCUGGACAACCGUUGGUCAAAGUCAAGACCAAUCCCAUGGCCAACCCAAGUGGACACCGAGCCAAUGGUCGAGCCAAGACCAACCAAUGGUCAGUCAGGUGAAGGUCAACCAAUCAAUGGUCGACCCAAAGCCAAGCCAACCCAAGGUCAAGCCAAGGUCAAAGGUCACACAACCGUCGAGUGGAGCCCAACCAACGAUCAACCAAGUCAAGACUGACCAUGCGAUGGUCAUGACCAGCCAAGAGUCACCCAACCGUCAACUGAAAACCAACCAACGGCCAAAGGAGUCAACAUUGAUCAACCCAAAGUCAGGAUCAGUCCAAGAUCAAGUUAAGACCAACCCAAACCAAGGUCAAGGUCACCCAAUGAUCAAGAGAGCACCGACCAAUGGUCGACAAAACCAAGAUCGACCAUCCCAAGGUCAAGACCAACCCAAGGUCAAGACCAACCCACGGUCAAGACCAACCCACGGUCAAGACCAACCCAAGGUCAAGACCAACCCACGGUCAAGACCACGCCCACCCAAACUCAGGUGAGGUCAAGGUCACCCAAAGCCCAACCCCAAACCAACCAAUGAUCAAGGUCAAGGUCAACCAAUCAACGGCCAACUCCAACUCAAAGCCAACCCAACCCAAGGUCAAAGGUCACCCAACGGUCAACUGAAGACCGACCAAUGAUCAACGAAGUCAAGAUGGACCAACCACAGGUCAAGACCAAUCCAAGAGUCACCCAAUGGUCAGGCGAAGAGCAAUCAAUGGUCAACAAGGUCAAGACCGACCAAGCCAUGGUGAAGACAACUCCAAGUUAAGACCAACCCAAACCAAGCUCAAGGUCACCCAACGAUCAACGAAGAGC